RNAcentral lists this ribosomal RNA (253 nucleotides) under uncultured bacterium. RNAcentral's name for it is "partial 16S ribosomal RNA". It matches the Rfam family "Bacterial small subunit ribosomal RNA", at positions 524 to 776 of the family's 1533-position model. The record is from RNAcentral.
UACAGGGGGGGCAAGCGUUGUUCGGAAUUACUGGGCGUAAAGCGCGCGUAGGCGGACCUGCAAGUCGGGGGUGAAAGCCCGAGGCUCAACCUCGGAACUGCCUUCGAUACUGCGGGUCUCGAGUCCGGGAGAGGUGAGUGGAAUUCCUAGUGUAGAGGUGAAAUUCGUAGAUAUUAGGAAGAACACCAGUGGCGAAGGCGGCUCACUGGCCCGGUACUGACGCUGAGGCGCGAAAGCGUGGGGAGCAAACAGG